RNAcentral lists this ribosomal RNA (219 nucleotides) under uncultured cyanobacterium. RNAcentral describes it as "partial 16S ribosomal RNA". It matches the Rfam family "Bacterial small subunit ribosomal RNA", at positions 508 to 722 of the family's 1533-position model. Lineage: Bacteria; Bacillati; Cyanobacteriota. The record is from RNAcentral.
CCAGCAGCCGCGGUAAUACGGAGGAGGCAAGCGUUAUCCGGAAUUAUUGGGCGUAAAGCGUCCGUAGGUGGCUAGCUUCAAGUCUGCGGUCAAAGACUGGGGCUUAACCCUGGAAAGGCCGUGGAAACUGACGAGCUAGAGUGCAGUAGGGGUAGAGCUGGAAUUCCCGGUGUAGCGGUGAAAUGCGUAGAGCUCGGGAAGAACAUCGGUGGCGAAAGC